GGGCCGGGCCGGCGUCGAAGUCUCCGCACGAUCCGACGCACUUCCUCCCGCCCCAAGGACGCCGCAGCCGGUUGGGUCGCUGCGCGAGUCGGCCAUAAGGACGGGCACCGGAAGGUGGCCAGUGGCGUCCCCCCGUGUUCGUCGCUGGUCGUUAUCCAGCCCGCCCGUGGCGCGACACCCGACCGAGGUCGAAGGUCCCGGUUAGGACCUCGCCGUCCCCUCCCCCGUGGUCGAGCAGGAGCGCCAGCAAGCGAUUGUCCGCGCGAUCGUCUCCACUCUCCGAGUGGGCGGUCGUCGGAUGACGCCGUUGGCGAGGACGCUUCCUGCGCGGGGUUUUUCCGGCGGCUCGCGGCGAGUAGGUCGGUCACCCACCCGACCCGUCUUGAAACACGGACCAAGGAGUCUAACAUGUGCGCGAGUCACGGGGUCUUGCUUAGGCCCAGAGGCGCAAUGAAAGUGAAGGCCGGCCUCGAUGCCGGCCGAGUUGGGAUUCUCC
This 496-nucleotide ribosomal RNA is filed under the name Poecilotheria formosa. RNAcentral describes it as "eukaryotic LSU rRNA". The record is from RNAcentral. Lineage: Eukaryota; Metazoa; Arthropoda; Arachnida; Araneae; Theraphosidae.